This 500-nucleotide ribosomal RNA is filed under the name uncultured Glomeromycotina. RNAcentral's name for it is "partial small subunit ribosomal RNA". It matches the Rfam family "Eukaryotic small subunit ribosomal RNA", at positions 591 to 1092 of the family's 1831-position model. The record is from RNAcentral. Lineage: Eukaryota; Fungi; Glomeromycota.
CCAAUAGCGUAUAUUAAAGUUGUUGCAGUUAAAAAGCUCGUAGUUGAAUUUCGGGGUUAGUAGGUUGGUCAUGCCUCUGGUAUGUACUGGUCUCACUGAUUCCUCCUUCCUGAUGAGCCGUAAUGCCAUUAAUUUGGUGUUGCGGGGAAUUUGGACUGUUACUUUGAAAAAACUAGAGUGUUUAAAGCAAGCUAACGCUUGAAUACAUUAGCCAUGAAUAAUGAAAUAGGACGUUCGAUCCUAUUUUGUUGGUUUCUAGGAUUGACGUAAUGAUUAAUAGGGAUAGUUGGGGGCAUUAGUAUUCAAUUGUCAGAGGUGAAAUUCUUGGAUUUAUUGAAGACUAACUACUGCGAAAGCAUUUGCCAAGGAUGUUUUCAUUAAUCAAGAACGAAAGUUAGGGGAUCGAAGACGAUCAGAUACCGUCGUAGUCUUAACCAUAAACUAUGCCGACUAGGGAUCGGAUGAUGUUAAUUUUUUAAUGACUCAUUCGGCGCCUUACG